This 430-nucleotide ribosomal RNA is filed under the name uncultured prokaryote. RNAcentral's name for it is "bacterial SSU rRNA". It matches the Rfam family "Bacterial small subunit ribosomal RNA", at positions 355 to 776 of the family's 1533-position model. RNAcentral also lists the same sequence under 1 other name. The record is from RNAcentral.
CUAAGAAUCUUCCGCAAUGGGGGAAACCCUGACGGAGCGACGCCGCGUGGACGAUGGAGGCCGUAAGGUUGUAAAGUCCUUUUCCUGGUGAAGAAUAGCCCGAGGAGGGGAAAGCCUCGGGGAUGACGUUAGCCAGGGAAUAAGCCCCGGCCAAUUACGUGCCAGCAGCCGCGGUAAUACGUAUGGGGCAAGCGUUGUUCGGAGUUAUUGGGCGUAAAGGGCGUGUAGGCGGCUCAUCAAGUCUGGUGUGAAAAUGCAGGGCCCAACCCUGCAGAUGCGCUGGAAACUGGUGGGCUAGAGUUCCUGAGGGGAAGCUGGAAUUCCAGGUGUAGGAGUGAAAUCUGUAGAUAUCUGGAAGAACACCGGUGGCGAAGGCGAGCUUCUAUCAGAGGACUGACGCUGAGGCGCGAAAGCGUGGGGAGCAAACAGG